GAUGAAGAACGCAGCGAAAUGCGAUACGUAAUGUGAAUUGCAAAUUCAGUGAAUCAUCGAGUCUUUGAACGCACAUUGCGCCCCCUGGUAUUCCGGGGGGCAUGCCUGUCCGAGCGUCAUUACUGCCCUCAAGCCCGGCUUGUGUGUUGGGCCCCGUCCUCCGAUCCCGGGGGACGGGCCCGAAAGGCAGCGGCGGCACCGCGUCCGGUCCUCGAGCGUAUGGGGCUUUGUCACCCGCUCUGUAGGCCCGGCCGGCGCUUGCCGAUCAACCCCAAUUUUUAUAGGUUGACCUCGGAUCGGGUAGGGAUACCCGCUGAACUUAAGCAUAUCAAUAAGCGGAGGA
RNAcentral lists this unclassified non-coding RNA (343 nucleotides) under soil metagenome. Its description in RNAcentral is "partial contains 5.8S ribosomal RNA, internal transcribed spacer 2, and large subunit ribosomal RNA". The stretch from base 1 to 119 matches the Rfam family "5.8S ribosomal RNA", at positions 35 to 154 of the family's 154-position model. The record is from RNAcentral.